CCUACGCGAGGCAGCAGUAGGGAAUAUUGCUCAAUGUGGGAAACCCUGAAGCAGCAACGCCGCGUGGAGGAUGAAGGUUUUCGGAUUGUAAACUCCUUUUGUUAGAGAAGAUAAUGACGGUAUCUAACGAAUAAGCACCGGCGAACUCCGUGCCAGCAGCCGCGGUAAUACGGAGGGUGCAAGCGUUACUCGGAAUCACUGGGCGUAAAGAGCGCGUAGGCGGGUUAGCAAGUUCGAGUUGAAAUCCUAUGGUUUAACCAUAGAACUGUAUUUGAAACUGUUAUUCUAGAGUAUGGGAGGGGUAGGUGGAAUUCUUGGUGUAGGGGUAAAAUCCGUAGAGAUCAAGAGGAAUACUCAUUGCGUAGGCGACCUGCUAGAACAUAACUGACGCUGAUGCGCGAAAGCGUAGGGAGCAAACAGGAUUAGAUACCCGUGUAGUC
This 440-nucleotide ribosomal RNA is filed under the name uncultured bacterium. Its description in RNAcentral is "partial 16S ribosomal RNA". It matches the Rfam family "Bacterial small subunit ribosomal RNA", at positions 338 to 795 of the family's 1533-position model. The record is from RNAcentral.